CGGAGCCGGCGACUGGACGCGAGCAAGGGGCGAAUGGAGAGCGUCUCCCCUGCGCCAAUGCUGUUGUUCCGGGUGCUGAAAAGCCGGGAACUUCCCGGAAAGCAGCGGCACUUUUCUCCCUGGAAGACGAGGUUUCACCGUGUCAGCCAGGAUGGUCUCGAUCUCCUGACCUCGUGAUCCACCCGCCUCGGCCUCCCAAAGUGCUGGGAUUACAGGCGUGAGCCACAGCACCCAGCCUUAAUAGUGAAUCUUAUACCCAGCAGCUGUGAAUAAGCUCUCUGAUGCCCUGAAGAGUCCCUUGUGAGGUGGUAACCAAUGGUGCUUCCAGAUGCCCAGUUUGGGAGGUUGGUUCGUGGUGGCACCAUGGUGGAGAAAAAACAUUCAUUCCUGGUUUUUCCCAACUGUGGAUAUGAUCAUAAGGGAGAUCAUCUCUAGCGGCGGGGACUCUUGCCUCCAGCCCUCUGGGACUUGCCUCUGGAUCACCAUUUGUUCAGGAAAGAGCCCAGCAGCCAGAAUGAUGUAUUUUGGGCUCGGAUUGCCUUCUAUGUGGAGUGAGGAGACAGAUGGGCUU
Molecule: long non-coding RNA, 571 nt
Organism: Homo sapiens (human)
Lineage: Eukaryota; Metazoa; Chordata; Mammalia; Primates; Hominidae
Source: Ensembl